ACCAGCCCCCAGCCCAAAGCCCGCAUCCGGUAGGGGGGUCAGGGCCGGGCAGUGGAGCUGCGGGGGGCCGGGCUCAGUCCUGUGCUGUCAAGGCUCCACGAGGAGCACCCAGGUGUGCUGUAGGCAGUGAUGAGGGGUGUGGGUUCACAGCUCGCACUGCUGCUCCAUAAGUAGGGCGGCGACAGCGCUGGGUGUUUGUCUCUACUGCUAGUUUUCUAGGCUUUGAUUCUACAGCCUGCCUAGGAGGGAUGGGGGAUUCUCAACUUGCUCCUGUGAAGCAGCUUGAGGCCCUGGGACUGCCUGCAGCACGAGGAGCUGGGACAAUGCAGCUCACCUGGAUCUUGAGCACUGCAGCCACCUGAGCUGUUGGUGGUGUGAUGGUAAACUUCCAUUCUGAUCUCCAGCGACCAUUCCUAAAAACAGAUGAAGCAUGAAAACUGUAUUUGCACAUGAUGGGUGUAAGUCAAACUACCACCACAGAGAGGCAUACUCUUUUUGGUAUGCUUGAAACAUGAAUACUUACUGUGCUGCUCCUU
Molecule: long non-coding RNA, 536 nt
Organism: Phasianus colchicus (ring-necked pheasant)
Lineage: Eukaryota; Metazoa; Chordata; Aves; Galliformes; Phasianidae
Source: RefSeq, a predicted model, not a curated record